Molecule: non-coding RNA, 741 nt
Organism: Oncorhynchus mykiss (rainbow trout)
Lineage: Eukaryota; Metazoa; Chordata; Actinopteri; Salmoniformes; Salmonidae
Source: RefSeq, a predicted model, not a curated record
UCAUCUCUCUCUCCCUCUCUCUCUCUCUCUCCCUCUCUCUCCCUCCCUCUCUCUAUCUCAGUUUCUCUGUUCGUCCUCCUUGUCUUCUCACACUCCCUGUCCCUCCCUCUUCCCCACCUUCUCGGUUCAUCCCAUUUGCUACUGGAUGCUAAAUUGCGGUGCCUAGAUGAAAGGACAAUGAGAAAGGCAGGUUAAGUCGGGCUAACACAGACCAGAUCCACACAGGUGCUGCAGACUGACAGAGGACACCACACCGAUGGAACAAAAUGUUACACAAGUUGUUGCAUUAAGAGAGCCUCUGUAAAAAAAAGCCUGGCGGUGGGCGAGGGAGGACUCUGAUGACGGUGAGCUGUGUUGUCAGUGCUCCACAGCCUAGCAGGGCCUAGCGGGGCCAAAGAGCAGUGUGCCGGGGAGGGAGGGGAGUCCAAGGCAGGGCUAUUACAUCACCCCUAUCAGGGCUGAUUGGGCUGAGGGUCUGUGCAUGCGAGCGGGGCCCGCUCACUGGCCCAUAUGCCUUUAAUACAGGACCAGAUGUGGAGCUAACCCAACGCCCCAGCCAGUUCCACCGCCCCGCCCCCUGCUCCUCAAUGCUCUAAGCCAGCCGUAGCAUCCCGGGUCAUGCUUAGUAAAAAAAGGUUUCAUGGGAGCUAACUGGCAUCCUCAUAUGAUUGGGUGGAGAUGAUUUGUAUUUCAGAUGGCCUCCCCUCAGGAUUGUGUGUGUUUGUCUGUCUGUCUGUCUGU